CAAUAGCGUAUAUUAAAAUUGUUGCAGUUAAAACGUUCGUAGUUGUAUUUCUGUUAUCUGUCAGAAUGGUCCGCUUGAGCGUGCACCGUUCGUCGAUGACAUCCGUUUGCACAAUUCAUUGCGCAAACCGUUCACUUUGAGGAAAUUAGAGUGUUCAAAGCAGGCUCAGCCUUGAAUACUUCAGCAUGGAAUGAUUGAUAGGACUUCCGUUCUAUCCGUUGGUUCUAGGGGCGUGAAGUAAUGAUAAAUAGGGUCGGUCGGGGACAUUCCUACUGAGCAGUCAGGGGUGAAAUCCUGUAAUUUGUUCAUGAGGAGCUACUGCGAAAGCAUUUGUCAAGGACGACCCCAUUAA
Molecule: ribosomal RNA, 352 nt
Filed under: uncultured eukaryote
Lineage: Eukaryota
Description: partial 18S ribosomal RNA
Rfam family: Eukaryotic small subunit ribosomal RNA
Source: RNAcentral